GUUUGACCUGCUGCCAUCGCCAGGUCCGGCUCCCCCAACCCUGCCCCGUGGAGGGGCGCGGCCAGGUGCAGUGGGGAUCCCGCGCAAUGCGCAGUUUAUUAAGAGCCGGGGCGGCCUCGGGUGUUUGAACUCGACCCUUGGCGGGGGCGAGGUCCCCACACCCUUUGUAUGGGGAGUGGGGACGACCCAGGCCGGGGUGCGAGGUGACGCCGACACUCCUGACUAACGCGACAUGCUCCGGCCUGCCCCCGCCCCCAGCCCAAGUCCGCGCGGCGCCGAGGUGGCCCCGGAGCGUCGGGGACCCGUAACGAACUGGUGUCACCUGCUGAGAACCCAGGACACUCCCGACAGCCACGUGCGCAGGUGGCCUGACGCAGACUGGAGAUUCAGCAGCGCUUCGUGAGCAACCCUUCUCCCUGGGACCCCAAGGUGAAAGAAACUGAAGUUUAGGUCUCUCCUGUCCUCUCCUGGAUGUCAGAUUUUCCUGUGGAAAUUGGUAUUGAUGUUUAUUUCCCUUUGAAACCAGGAUUUCUCCCUGUCCCAUGGCCCCAGCAAGAGUGCCAGACCAGCCUACAGGCCGCAGACCCACAGAGGCAACAGCUUCUCAAACUGCCAAGACUUCCAGCCCUUUGUCCUCAACUUGAAAGAGUCUCCUGGGCUCCCUUUGUCUGCCCUUCUCUCUGCUUCGACAGUUGACAGUCGUAGAUUCACUGCCACAAUCAAGUGGUAAACCGUCUCAUCCCGUCAUUCUGAGCAGUUCUCAGUGCCCCUUUGCAGCCAGUCCCUCUCCUCUACCACCAGUCUUGAGCAGCCAUUGAUCCUCUGUCACCGUAGUUUUGCCUUUUCCUGCAGGCUGCUGUGAAUAUUUGUGCACAAGUCUUUAGGGUAAGCACACAGAAGACGGACUGCCAGGUUUUAUGGGAUCAAACUCAGGACCUUGAACCUGAGAGGCAGGCGGCAGAACCACUGAGCUAAAUCCCUGGCCCUGGUUUGUAUUUUUUAUGUCCUGAGAAGUCUGCCUGCUCAAAUGUCACAAAGGUCAUCUAUGUUUUCCUCUGGAAAUUUUAUAGUUUUUCCUUUCACAGUUACUGAUACAUUUUGAGUUCAUUUUUGUGUAUAAUAAAGAUAAGAAUUGGAGUUCUUGGGCUGGGGAUUUAGCUUAGUGGCACCCCACCUGCCUCACAAGCGCAAGGUCCUGAGUUCAAUCCCGUACCAAAGAAAAAAAAAAUUGGGGUUCUAUUUUUUUUCCUAAUAGAUAUCCAAGUAUUCUAAGACCAUUUGUUGAACUGUUAUUACACACAGACACGCACGCACACACACGCUAAAUGCCUUGGCACCUUUUUUGAAACUUUGUUGCCCACGUCUUUCCAAUAUGAAGAUUAGAAUUGACUUACUAAAUUUUAGGGGAAAAAGAGCCUGAUGGGAUUGGGAUUGCAUUGGCUCUUUAGAUUAACUGGGGAAGAACUGACAUCCUAACAAUACAGAUUCUUCCCAACCCACGAGCAUGGUAAAGUAUAUCUCUCCACUUAUUCGCUUUUAAUGUUUUUUAGCUUUCAUUGUGCAUAUCUUGCAAAUAUUUUGUUAAACUUACCCUAGGUAUUUUUUUCUGAUUUUUUAGCACUAUUGAAAAUAUUUUAAAAUUUUAAAUGCAAUUUUUUUUGUUGUUUUCAUUUUUGUUUUUGGUACCAGGGAUUGAACUUGGGACCUUCUGCUUUUGAGGCAGGUGGCGGAACCACUGAGCUAAAUCCCCAGCCCGCAAUUGUUUUUUAUAUUGGACUUUGUACCCUGCAAUUUUGCUAAUUUCUCAGUUCUGAUAGCUUAUUGUGGAUUCUUAGAGGUUUACAUCCACAAUCAUGUAGUCUGCAAUAAAGAUGGCUUCACUUCUUUCUGACCUGUA
Long non-coding RNA from Heterocephalus glaber (naked mole-rat), 1897 nucleotides. Lineage: Eukaryota; Metazoa; Chordata; Mammalia; Rodentia; Bathyergidae. The record is from Ensembl.